This 96-nucleotide small nucleolar RNA is filed under the name Chlamydomonas reinhardtii. RNAcentral describes it as "CrCD10c snoRNA". The record is from RNAcentral. Lineage: Eukaryota; Viridiplantae; Chlorophyta; Chlorophyceae; Chlamydomonadales; Chlamydomonadaceae.
GCCAAGGCGGUGAUUACCCUCGAGUGCAUAACUCGUCUUACCUAUUUUCAGAGCCCUCCCGGCGCUGCUGAAACAAAUUAACACAUGAGCCUUCGU